RNAcentral lists this transfer RNA (67 nucleotides) under Melasis buprestoides. RNAcentral's name for it is "tRNA-Tyr". Lineage: Eukaryota; Metazoa; Arthropoda; Insecta; Coleoptera; Eucnemidae. The record is from RNAcentral.
AGCGAAGUGGCCGAAAAAUUUAGGCAAUAAAUUGUAAAUUUAUUUAUGGAAAUCUUUCCCUUCGCUA